UUUGCAUGGAUAAAAAAAAGAGCAAAUUCUUCAACCCCACAAAACUUGCCAAACGGUAAUAGCUCGAGGUGUAUUUAAAAAUUGGAGGCAAGUUGUGUAUGCCGAUUUCGACAAGCCUAUGACGAAAGAAAUUCUCUUUGACAUAAUAGAGCAAUUGCAAGAAAGCGGCUACACAGUUGUUGCCAUGAUCUCAGAUGCACACGCCAGUAACACGAAGUUAUGGAGUCACCUGGGUGUAGGCCAGAAAUCACAUUCUGGAUUCCUUUUUUUGAAUUUAAUGGUGAAAAAACGGACAGAAAAUAUCUUAAUUAUUAGAAGUAAAUAGCGGUGAUUUGAAAUGAGCCUUCUCUUUAACAGCGGAACAUCUUCAGUGCAAAAUGAAUGCGCCUCAAAAGGUAAAGCUCGCAACGCAAAUCUUUUCGAAUAAGAACUCAAAAGCACUGAUAUUCUGUUUAAGACAACUGCAGCUGGGAAAUGAAAAUUUCAAAGAUUUUAAGGGUUGCACGUUCCACAAUGCUCCCAUUUCAAAGAGGAAUUCACCUCACCUCUCUCGCUUUGCUAAGUUUAUUCCAACACUUGCAGGAAGCGUUUCGCAUUGGAAAUAUUAAAUAUAUUCUCACCAAUCGGCUGAAUCAAGACGUGUUAGAAAACUUUUUUUCUUUCAUUUGUGGCGUGGGAAGAGGCCACGAUCAUCUAACUUCCCUGGAAUUGAAACACCGUUUACGGUGGUACAUUUUAGGAAGACACGCCAUGGAGGUGCUUUCAAGUGGUUGCAACAAUGAAAAAGACUUUAAUGAAAAGUCUUUUCAAUGCGUCCGACCUAGAAAAAGUCAAUGCUGUAAAAAUGAGUACUUCCUCUAUUACAACGGACUUAGUCAAGGAAGAUACGAUUCUCGUCAACGCCUCAGAUUUGUACGAAGAUGCUGAUGUACGUGCUGAAGACUUUGCAACUUCACAGCUUCAUACGGACAUCGUGGACAUAACCAAGGAGGAUAUUAUUGAAGGUAGAGAAGAAACUAUCCGAUUAGAAGAGUUAUGCUAAACCCUUUUAGUCAAUGAGAACGAGAUUGAAGACGAAACUCUGGUCAGUCUUUCGGAUGAAUUUAAAACGAAAGAGGGAGAGGAGGAUGACAAAAUGGAAGAUGCGGUGAUUACAGCGGCGCAGAACGUUUUAACGUCAGACGCUUCCGCAUGUUCCCUGCCCGAAACCAACAUUAUAUUAUGCGGCAUCUCUAGAAAAACAUAUUGCCAUGAAUCAGGAACUUGAUCUUCUCCAGGCUUUUGAAACAGUUAUGGCCACCGAAAAAAUUGCACAAGAAGAGCUGAAAUAUAUCGCUGGAUAUGUGGCAAAGCAAAUCUCCCAAGAUAAAUCACUUCGCGUGUAUACACCUUCUUUGCCACACAAGCCCAACAACGACUGGAUUUGUCACUUAUCCAAAGGCUAUUUGAAAUAUCCGAGUGAAAAAUUAUUAACAGCUGCUCGAAUAAUUAAUACAGAAUAUGAAAAUUAUCAUGGAGCAACAUUUUCAAGGGAUCCUCAAAUUUUUUAAACUGUAGCAUCGAGGACAAGUGUCAAAUUAGUAGAAAAAGUUGAGAUGAAGGUUCUGCUGUGCUUGAUGCGUACCCGAACCUACAUACGGUUACGGAAUUUGAACCAGCAAUUAUACGCAGGAAGGAAAAGAAGAAAGGAAGAAAGACGCAUGCCAAAGUUCACGAACAUUAGAUAAUGUGUGCAUCAUAGCGUAUAAUGGAGUAGACCAAAAAAAAACCCUUUAAGGAAUAGCGGAUUGUAAGAUGGGAAAAAGUUAAAGGUAGUCACGCGCCCAGAAGAAAACCGGCAUCAUGAAGGAUAAUGAAAUUUUAAAGGUUCACAACCUAUCCAGUCGUUUCGAAUGUCACUUGAUCAUAUAUGAACUGAUAUUUUUGAAUGACAUAUUUAUCGCCUUUAACAUUUCUGUGAUUUUAAUUAGAAAUGAUUGUUUUGAAUGUUUAAU
Belonocnema kinseyi is the source of this 1994-nucleotide RNA transcript. RefSeq lists it as uncharacterized. Lineage: Eukaryota; Metazoa; Arthropoda; Insecta; Hymenoptera; Cynipidae. The transcript has 3 exons. The record is from RefSeq and is a predicted model, not a curated record.